GACGAACGCUGGCGGCGUGCCUAACACAUGCAAGUCGAACGGACAGGCCCUGCUUUUGUGGGGUGCUCGAGUGGCGAACGGGUGAGUAACACGUGAGUAACCUGCCCCUGACUUUGGGAUAUCCUCAUGAAACUGGGGCUAAUACCGGAUAGGAGCACCUGCUUCUUGGUGGGCGUUGGAAAGUUUCGGCGGUUGGGUAUGGACUCGCGGCUUAUCAGCUUGUUGGUGGGGUAGUGGCUUACCAAGGCUUUGACGGGUAGGCGGCCUGAGAGGGUGACCGGCCACAUUGCGACUGAGAUACGGCACAGACUCAUACGGGAGGCAGGAGUGGAGAAUAGUGCACAAUGGGCGGAAGCAUAAUGCAGCGACGCCGCGUGCGGGGUAACGGCCUUCGGGUUGUAAUCCGCUUUCGCCUGUGACGAAGCGUGAGUGACGGUAAUGGGUAAAGAAGCACCGGCUAACUACGUG
Molecule: ribosomal RNA, 468 nt
Filed under: uncultured bacterium
Lineage: Bacteria
Description: partial 16S ribosomal RNA
Rfam family: Bacterial small subunit ribosomal RNA
Source: RNAcentral